RNAcentral lists this ribosomal RNA (263 nucleotides) under uncultured prokaryote. RNAcentral describes it as "partial 16S ribosomal RNA". It matches the Rfam family "Bacterial small subunit ribosomal RNA", at positions 524 to 786 of the family's 1533-position model. The record is from RNAcentral.
UACGUAGGGUGCGAGCGUUGUCCGGAAUUAUUGGGCGUAAAGAGCUUGUAGGCGGUUUGUCGCGUCUGCUGUGAAAAUCCGGGGCUCAACCCCGGACUUGCAGUGGGUACGGGCAGACUAGAGUGUGGUAGGGGAGACUGGAAUUCCUGGUGUAGCGGUGAAAUGAGCAGAUAUCAGGAGGAACACCGAUGGCGAAGGCAGGUCUCUGGGCCACUACUGACGCUGAGAAGCGAAAGCAUGGGGAGCGAACAGGAUUAGAUACU